UGGGGAAUAUUGCACAAUGGAGGGAACUCUGAUGCAGCGACGCCGCGUGAACGAAGAAGGCUUUCGAGUCGUAAAGUUCUUUUAUAUGGGAAGAUAAUGACGGUACCAUAAGAAGAAGCCCCGGCUAACUACGUGCCAGCAGCCGCGGUAAUACGUAGGGGGCUAGCGUUGUCCGGAAUCACUGGGCGUAAAGGGUUCGCAGGCGGAAAUGCAAGUCAGGUGUAAAAGGCAGUAGCUUAACUACUGUAAGCAUUUGAAACUGCAUAUCUUGGGAAGAGUAGAGGUAAGUGGAAUUUUUAGUGUAGCGGUGAAAUGCGUAGAGAUUAAAAAGAAUACCGGUGGCGAAGGCGACUUACUGGGCUCAUUCUGACGCUGAGGAACGAAAGCGUGGGUAGCAAACAGG
RNAcentral lists this ribosomal RNA (403 nucleotides) under bacterium. RNAcentral describes it as "partial 16S ribosomal RNA". It matches the Rfam family "Bacterial small subunit ribosomal RNA", at positions 355 to 776 of the family's 1533-position model. The record is from RNAcentral.